AACGUAGGGGACGAGCGUUGUCCGGAUUUAUUGGGCGUAAAGAGCGCGCAGGCGGCUUCGCAAGUCGGGUGUGAAAAUCCGGGGCUCAACCCCGGACCUGCAUUCGAUACUGCGUGGCUAGAGGCAGGCAGGGGAGAUCGGAAUUCCUGGUGUAGCGGUGAAAUGCGCAGAUAUCAGGAGGAACACCGGUGGCGAAGGCGGAUCUCUGGGCCUGUCCUGACGCUCAGGCGCGAAAGCUAGGGGAGCGAACAGG
RNAcentral lists this ribosomal RNA (253 nucleotides) under uncultured bacterium. Its description in RNAcentral is "partial 16S ribosomal RNA". It matches the Rfam family "Bacterial small subunit ribosomal RNA", at positions 524 to 776 of the family's 1533-position model. The record is from RNAcentral.